UAGUACAUACCUUAAAACGGUGAAACCGCGAAUGGCUCAUUAAAUCAGCUAUGGUUCCUUAGAUCGUACAUACUACAUGGAUAACUGUAGUAAUUCUAGAGCUAAUACAUGCAACUAUGCCCUGACCCCCAAAGGAACGGGUGCAUUUAUUAGAACAGAACCAACCGGAUGUGGCUUCGGCUGCAUUCGUUGCAAUCUGUGAUGACUCUGGAUAACUUUUCUGAUCGCAGUCGGCCUUGUGUCGGCGACGGAUCUUUCAAAUGUCUGCCCUAUCAAUUUUCGAUGGUAGGUGACCUGCCUACCAUGGUUAUAACGGGUAACGGGGAAUCAGGGUUCGAUUCCGGAGAGGGAGCCUGAGAAACGGCUACCACUUCCAAGGAAGGCAGCAGGCACGCAAAUUACCCAAUCCCGGCACGGGGAGGUAGUGACGAAAAAUACGGAUACGGGUCUUAUUUGAGGCUCCGUAAUUCGAAUGAGUACAAUUUAAAUCCUUUAACGAGGAUCAACUGGAGGGCAAGUCUGGUGCCAGCAGCCGCGGUAACUCCAGCUCCAGAAGCGUAUAUUAAAGUUGUUGCAGUUAAAAAGCUCGUAGUUGGAUCUGGGUCGCAUGGCUACAUGCCGUAUCUCGUUUUCGGUCCGGUUUCGAUCGGUCGAUUAUGGGUCGGUGUCGGUUGUGCAGCCUUUCUGCCGUGUCUGUUUCGACAGGUGUUGAUUGUACUGGUGAGCUAGUCUUGCUGGUCUGUUGACAUGCUUCCGUAUGCCUUUAAACGGGUGUCGGGGGCGGACGGCACGUUUACUUUGAACAAAUUUGAGUGCUCAAAGCAGGCCUAUGUGCCUGAAAAUUCUUGCAUGGAAUAAUGGAAUAGGACUUCGGUUCUAUUUGGUGGGUUUCGGAUCCGAAGUAAUGGUUAAGAGGGACAGACGGGGG
This 928-nucleotide ribosomal RNA is filed under the name Prodistomum orientale. RNAcentral describes it as "SSU rRNA". It matches the Rfam family "Eukaryotic small subunit ribosomal RNA", at positions 61 to 888 of the family's 1831-position model. The record is from RNAcentral. Lineage: Eukaryota; Metazoa; Platyhelminthes; Trematoda; Plagiorchiida; Lepocreadiidae.